RNAcentral lists this long non-coding RNA (1059 nucleotides) under Sinocyclocheilus anshuiensis. RNAcentral's name for it is "lncRNA (ENSSANG00000013537.1)". The record is from RNAcentral. Lineage: Eukaryota; Metazoa; Chordata; Actinopteri; Cypriniformes; Cyprinidae.
GGAAAUUAUUAGCCACAAAGUGCUGCAAUAAAGAAUUGAUUUUCCAGGCCUGAUGAAUCCAGCAUGUUCCAGCUGAGGCUGCUUCUCCUGGGCAGCAGCGGUUCACUUUAUGGGCACUGAGAGCAGGAGGAACUGGAAAUUGGAUCCUUAAAAAAGCCCUACCUUUCACUGCUGGCUUCGUGACAAUCAUAUUGUCAUAUAUUGAUGUUAACUGUUUCCAAAGCAGACAUGAAGAUCUCCGGCUUUUUGGGAGAGCCUUUGAAGAUGAAACAACUGCAUUCCAAGUCCCAGUCUCCCUCCCUGGAGACAUGCUUUCCAAAAGGCUACAGCCACAGCACAAAGCCAGCCUUGACAUUUGCAUAAAUCCAUCAGCGUCACCACGACAGCGCUGACUCCUAGGUCGCCAUCCGCCGUUAAAUUUAGAAAAGAAAACUAGGCAGGGAUGGUGAAAAAACACAGCAAACGUUGUAAAGCUUUUGCAUUGCUAUGCUGCAGUCAGAUGAUUACAUUGACAGGUCUCAGAUGAGCGCUUUUCAGGCACAAGCUAUACAAAAAACAGCCAUGGCUUUUGUUAUUGCCUGGAGUUUUACAACAUGACAUGUAAGUGUGCGUGAGAUUGUUUAUGUGUGUGAGAGAGUGCUGCUUGACGGAGGAGGGAGUGCAUAUGAAUUCGUCUGUCCGAGAUUCACGAGUAAAUGCUGUGGACAAGGCCAUUGGCCUCACCUGGCAGUCGAUUGUCUUAAUUUCACCGGUGUCACUUUCAAUUUAGCCAGCGACUGAGAUGAGAGAUAACUAUGCAGGCUGCACCCACACCACUCCACCUCCUGCUCUCUGGAGCUACAAGUGUGCAGGCUGCAACAGCAGUGGCUUACAGACAGGAAGUAGACAACUGUGUGAGAAGAGCUCAUCAUCAGACUGAAUUGUUAUUGUAGCUGGAUCUGUAAUGAUCCGCCCUUUUUGACACAAUUGCGUGUUUUUUUUUUUUCCAUUGAGGUGCUGUGAAAUCAGAAUUAUAUUGUAAUAAAUCAAAUAGAUUGCUUGUUACCUAUGUCUCAGGCU